Molecule: ribosomal RNA, 305 nt
Filed under: uncultured bacterium
Lineage: Bacteria
Description: bacterial SSU rRNA
Rfam family: Bacterial small subunit ribosomal RNA
Source: RNAcentral
CUUUCCUACGGGAGGCAGCAGUGAGGAAUAUUGGUCAAUGGUCGGGAGACUGAACCAGCCAAGCCGCGUGAGGGAUGAAGGUACAGAGUAUCGUAAACCUCUUUUGUCGGAGAACAAAACCCGGGACGUGUCCCGGACUGCGUGUAUUCGAAGAAAAAGCAUCGGCUAACUCCGUGCCAGCAGCCGCGGUAAUACGGAGGAUGCGAGCGUUAUCCGGAUUUAUUGGGUUUAAAGGGUGCGUAGGCGGUCCGUGAAGUCAGCGGUAAAAUUGCGGGGCUCAACCCCGUCGAGCCGUUGAAACUGGG